Long non-coding RNA from Mytilus californianus (California mussel), 528 nucleotides. RefSeq lists it as uncharacterized. The record is from RefSeq and is a predicted model, not a curated record. The transcript is spliced from 2 exons. Lineage: Eukaryota; Metazoa; Mollusca; Bivalvia; Mytilida; Mytilidae.
AGAGUACUGACAUGGAGGACCCCAUCCAGACCAUAAUAUAAUGUGAAAUCUGUUUACCAACUGGUUAUAUAAAUGCAUGAACACUGAAUAGUACGUUUAACAGCAGAGUUUAUUUCGAACGGAAAACAAUGGACAGGAGAUAUUUCGCUGUGCUGGUAAUAUUCAUUACCAUGCCAUUUAUAUCUAUCCAGAAUCCUGUAUGUCAUUCAGGAGAAUGCUGGUAUCUAGGCCAAUGCUGGGAAAACAAUCGAGGAAUACAACCAACAGCUGAACUGAAUGAGUAUACCGGAUGUCUGAAAGUUCUCUUGUGCAGGGACGGUGUAACUCUUGUAAGGAAUGUAUGUCCUAACUGAUAGAAUCCUGAUGUAGCCUACUAUAAUGAUGAAAGCAAAUAACAAUGAUGAAAGAAAAUACGACAAACUUUAGCAGUGUGUUUUUUUUUUGUUGUUUCGACCACACAAUAAUAUAAUAUAUACAUGUAUAAAGAACGAAGUAUACUUGUGAUAAUAAAACAAAAGUGCUACUAUU